RNAcentral lists this transfer RNA (73 nucleotides) under Salmo salar (Atlantic salmon). It matches the Rfam family "tRNA". Rfam says of the family: Transfer RNA (tRNA) molecules are approximately 80 nucleotides in length. Their secondary structure includes four short double-helical elements and three loops (D, anti-codon, and T loops). Lineage: Eukaryota; Metazoa; Chordata; Actinopteri; Salmoniformes; Salmonidae. The record is from Rfam by way of RNAcentral.
UUCCCUGUGGCUCAGUUGGUAGAGCAUGGUGUUUGCAACACCAGGGUUGUGGGUUUGAUUCCCACCGGGGGGC